This 203-nucleotide non-coding RNA is filed under the name Maioricimonas rarisocia. RNAcentral describes it as "6S / SsrS RNA". It matches the Rfam family "6S / SsrS RNA". From Rfam's summary of the family: E. coli 6S RNA was the first non coding RNA to be sequenced, but its function was unknown until recently. It consists of 184 nucleotides that fold into an extended hairpin structure with a large single-stranded internal bulge. The record is from Rfam by way of RNAcentral. Lineage: Bacteria; Pseudomonadati; Planctomycetota; Planctomycetia; Planctomycetales; Planctomycetaceae.
ACAACCCUGCAGUGUUCGACCACGGGCUGCAUAUUUGUGGACCCUACAAGCAAUCCGCAGGGGACGGCGACGCACCCGGCCGCGUGUAUAGCCGGAUGACCGUUCUGCGGUCAUUCACCGGAUCACACAACCCGGGACCGCUGUGCCCACCUGAAACUGCGGGUCUGCACAAACGCGGCUCGAACGGCAUCUGCGGGGGUUUU